This 860-nucleotide long non-coding RNA is filed under the name Eucalyptus grandis. Its description in RNAcentral is "long non-coding RNA (EGRA_LNC000509)". Lineage: Eukaryota; Viridiplantae; Streptophyta; Magnoliopsida; Myrtales; Myrtaceae. The record is from RNAcentral.
UCCCUUGUCAUGGAUGCCCCUAAGUUUCGUGUGCUUGACAGCAAACCAUUCUUUAAUGACAUGAAAUACUUUCUCUUGCUGUGAUGUUUACCUGAAAAGGUUUUUCAACUACAUUGUCACCUUUGUGUAUCAAAUGCAAAAUAUAUCGCUAGGUUGAGGCUGAAGUAUCCUUUCUGCUGCUGCAAUUUAUCUUAAGUCAAUUGAAUUUAUAUAAGACAACCUUACAUGCUGUUAAGAACUUAGUUGCGCAGGCAUGCUAUUGAAAGGUCAUAGGACUCCAUCAGGCUUGAGACGAUAUGUAACUGCUGCAAUAAUAAGAAUGUUGAUCAUCAUAAUGGCAGAUAGGCUUUGUUGUCCAUGAUGGCUACUGCCAAAUCAUCUCUUUGACCCAACAUUUGAGAUUCAUAUGCAGGGUGGCAAGUUCAUCUUCAGAAUAGGAGAUUAGGUUUGCAGUACGUAUUAAGUCAGACCGAUAACUGAGAUUGAACUGGCCACUGCACAUAGACUGCUUCUGAGGUCCUUGCUGGUGACCUGAGAGUUGCCUAAAAAAUUAUGUGCACGUGCUUUCAGAAUCAUUGAUUUCAGGAGUUCAGGGGGCAAUAUUUAGGACAAAUGAGGAAUGAGCUGGAUCAGUCCGCAAUUGGUUUAGUUUACAGAUGUAAAUGGGAGUUUGUCUAAUUAAAUCUAUACAGCAGAUGCCCAAAACUUUGAACCUGUGAGGAAAAAGACUGAAAAAGCAAGUUAUCUUGACAGCUCGAAGAAGAGCAUUUGACCUUAAAUCGAAUUAUGAGGCUUGUCUGCUUUGUCAGUUUCGCAAUAUCCAUGAAGGAGCUGUCUCCACCUGCAAUAUCCUCCAAUUC